CAACGCUGGCGGCGUGCCUCAGACAUGCAAGUCGAACGCGAAAGCCCCCUUCGGGGGGCAAGUAGAGUGGCGCACGGGUGAGUAACACGUAGGUAAUCUACCUUUGGAUGGGGAAUAACAACCGGAAACGGUUGCUAAUACCGCAUAAUGCAGCGGCACCUAAUGGUGACAGUUGUUAAAGCGGGGGAUCGAAAGACCUCGCGUCUAAAGAGGAGCCUGCGGCGGAUUAGCUAGUUGGUAAGGUAAUGGCUUACCAAGGCGACGAUCCGUAACCGGCCUGAGAGGGCGGUCGGUCACACUGACACUGACAUACGGGUCAGACUCCUACGGGAGGCAGCAGUCGGGAAUUUUGGGCAAUGGGCGAAAGCCUGACCCAGCAACGCCGCGUGAAGGAUGAAAUCCCUCGGGAUGUAAACUUCGCAAGAACGGGAAGAAUAAGUAGGGGACAAUACCCCCUAUGAUGACGGUACCGUUUGUAAGCUCCGGCUAACUCCGUGCCAGCAGCCGCGGUAAUACGGGGGGAGCAAGCGUUGUUCGGAUUUACUGGGCGUAAAGGGCGCGUAGGCGGCCAGCGCAAGUCAGUUGUGAAAUCUCCGAGCUUAACUCGGAAAGGUCAACUGAUACUGCGCGGCUAGAGUGCGGAAGGGGCAACUGGAAUUCUUGGUGUAGCGGUGAAAUGCGUAGAUAUCAAGAGGAACACCUGCGGCGAAGGCGGGUUGCUGGGCCGACACUGACGCUGAGG
Molecule: ribosomal RNA, 742 nt
Filed under: uncultured soil bacterium
Lineage: Bacteria
Description: bacterial SSU rRNA
Rfam family: Bacterial small subunit ribosomal RNA
Source: RNAcentral